UAAAAAGAUUUCAAGGAGCUCUUUUUCUGAGAGCAAAAUUCUGACAAGGUUAAGACGCUAAGGGGAGUGAAUGCUGACAAAUGCAAAAGAAUAGAAAUGAGAAGACUUAGAACACCAGGGGCACAUUUUACUUCACAUCUUUGCCUGAAGCUGGCCCAGGAGAGUAACUUGGAGAGGACAGUGACACAGACUCCAACUGUUGGUGGGGAGCACCUCAUCUUUAUCCCCAGGAGAAUGUUUUAGGAAGUGAACAUCCAAACAGAGCGCAGACUGCAAAACACAGAGGGCUACGAGAGAAUGAAAAUGAAGUGGACCAAAGGAGACCAGAGCCACCAAGGGAAUUCUCCAAACUGAGCCCUGGGUGGUCUGUUACUGCUACAGCUUCCAAGCAAUCAUCUGCAAUAUUGAGUUCUCUUAAAACUGUGAUGCUCGGGACUGAACUGCUUCCCACUUUAUUUGUCUCCAUUAGGGGAAAAAAAAAAAAAAAGAGAGCUUAAUGACUGAAAAUAUCAAAUGUGUAUUGUUGAAGCUGCUGCCAUACAAUAUGUGAAAUGGGGAAUGGUGAUUAUUACUUUGAUGUUUAAAUAAGAUAAAUGUUUGAUAUUAAGUUGAAGAAAGACUAAGGC
Long non-coding RNA from Cervus elaphus (red deer), 626 nucleotides. RefSeq lists it as uncharacterized. The record is from RefSeq and is a predicted model, not a curated record. NCBI's taxonomy places the organism in Eukaryota, Metazoa, Chordata, Mammalia, Artiodactyla, Cervidae. The transcript has 3 exons.